AUUGAACGCUGGCGGCAGGCCUAACACAUGCAAGUCGAACGGUAACAGGAAACAGCUUGCUGUUUCGCUGACGAGUGGCGGACGGGUGAGUAAUGUCUGGGAAACUGCCUGAUGGAGGGGGAUAACUACUGGAAACGGUAGCUAAUACCGCAUAACGUCGCAAGACCAAAGAGGGGGACCUUCGGGCCUCUUGCCAUCGGAUGUGCCCAGAUGGGAUUAGCUUGUUGGUGGGGUAACGGCUCACCAAGGCGACGAUCCCUAGCUGGUCUGGAAGGAUGACCAGCCACACUGGAACUGAGACACGGUCCAGACUCCUACGGGAGGCAGCAGUGGGGAAUAUUGCACAAUGGGCGCAAGCCUGAUGCAGCCAUGCCGCGUGUAUGAAGAAGGCCUUCGGGUUGUAAAGUACUUUCAGCGGGGAGGAAGGGAGUAAAGUUAAUACCUUUGCUCAUUGACGUUACCCGCAGAAGAAGCACCGGCUAACUCCGUGCCAGCCGCCGCCGUAA
RNAcentral lists this ribosomal RNA (506 nucleotides) under uncultured bacterium. RNAcentral's name for it is "partial 16S ribosomal RNA". It matches the Rfam family "Bacterial small subunit ribosomal RNA", at positions 30 to 523 of the family's 1533-position model. The record is from RNAcentral.